CCUACGGGUGGCAGCAGUGAGGAAUAUUGGUCAAUGGACGAGAGUCUGAACCAGCCAAGUAGCGUGAAGGAUGACUGCCCUAUGGGUUGUAAACUUCUUUUAUAUGGGAAUAAAAUAUUCCACGUGUGGGAUUUUGUAUGUACCAUAUGAAUAAGGAUCGGCUAACUCCGUGCCAGCAGCCGCGGUAAUACGGAGGAUCCGAGCGUUAUCCGGAUUUAUUGGGUUUAAAGGGAGCGUAGGUGGAUUGUUAAGUCAGUUGUGAAAGUUUGCGGCUCAACCGUAAAAUUGCAGUUGAAACUGGCAGUCUUGAGUACAGUAGAGGUGGGCGGAAUUCGUGGUGUAGCGGUGAAAUGCUUAGAUAUCACGAAGAACUCCGAUUGCGAAGGCAGUUCACUGGACUGCAACUGACACUGAGGCUCGAAAGUGUGGGUAUCAAACAGGAUUAGAUACCCUUGUAGUC
RNAcentral lists this ribosomal RNA (460 nucleotides) under uncultured bacterium. RNAcentral's name for it is "partial 16S ribosomal RNA". It matches the Rfam family "Bacterial small subunit ribosomal RNA", at positions 338 to 795 of the family's 1533-position model. The record is from RNAcentral.